ACGUAGGGUCCAAGCGUUAAUCGGAAUUACUGGGCGUAAAGCGUGCGCAGGCGGUUUUAUAAGCCAGAUGUGAAAUCCCCGGGCUUAACCUGGGAAUGGCAUUUGGGACUGUAAGGCUAGAGUACGGCAGAGGGGACUAGAAUUCCUGGUGUAGCAGUGAAAUGCGUAGAUAUCAGGAGGAAUACCGAUGGCGAAGGCAGGUCCCUGGGUCGAUACUGACGCUCAUGCACGAAAGCGUGGGGAGCAAACAGGAUUAGAUACCCUGGUAGUCCACGCCCUAAACGAUGUCAACUGGUUGUUGGGGAAUUCAUUUCCUUAGUAACGAAGCUAACGCGUGAAGUUGACCGCCUGGGGAGUACGGUCGCAAGAUUA
Molecule: ribosomal RNA, 372 nt
Filed under: uncultured bacterium
Lineage: Bacteria
Description: bacterial SSU rRNA
Rfam family: Bacterial small subunit ribosomal RNA
Source: RNAcentral